RNAcentral lists this ribosomal RNA (1343 nucleotides) under Sinomonas mesophila. Its description in RNAcentral is "bacterial SSU rRNA". It matches the Rfam family "Bacterial small subunit ribosomal RNA", at positions 18 to 1344 of the family's 1533-position model. The record is from RNAcentral. Lineage: Bacteria; Bacillati; Actinomycetota; Actinomycetes; Micrococcales; Micrococcaceae.
CUGGGCUCAGGAUGAAACGCUGGGCGGCCGUGCUUAAACAACAUGCAAAGUCGAAACGAUGAAAGCCCUUUUCGGGGGGUUGGAUUUAGUGGGCGAAACGGGGUGAAGUAAACACGUGAGCAAACCCUGCCCCUUGACUUUUGGGAUAAGCCUGGGAAACUGGGUCUUAAUACCCGGAUAGGACUCCUCAUCGCAUGGUGGGGGGUGGAAAGCCUUGUGCGGUCUUGGAUGGGCUCGCGGCCUAUCAGCUUUGUUGGUGGGGUGAUGGCCUACCAAGGCGACGACGGGUAGCCGGCCUGAGAGGGUGACCGGCCACACUGGGACUGAGACACGGCCCAGACUCCUACGGGAGGCAGCAGUGGGGAAUAUUGCACAAUGGGCGGAAGCCUGAUGCAGCGACGCCGCGUGGGGGAUGACGGCCUUCGGGUUGUAAACCCCUUUCAGCAGGGAAGAAGGGUGACUGACGGUACCUGCAGAAGAAGCGCCGGCUAACUACGUGCCAGCAGCCGCGGUAAUACGUAGGGCGCGAGCGUUAUCCGGAAUUAUUGGGCGUAAAGAGCUCGUAGGCGGCUUGUCGCGUCUGCUGUGAAAGCCCGGGGCUCAACCCCGGGUCUGCAGUGGGUACGGGCAGGCUGGAGUGCAGUAGGGGAGACUGGAAUUCCUGGUGUAGCGGUGAAAUGCGCAGAUAUCAGGAGGAACACCGAUGGCGAAGGCAGGUCUCUGGGCUGUAACUGACGCUGAGGAGCGAAAGCAUGGGGAGCGAACAGGAUUAGAUACCCUGGUAGUCCAUGCCGUAAACGUUGGGCACUAGGUGUGGGGGCCAUUCCACGGUUUCCGCGCCGCAGCUAACGCAUUAAGUGCCCCGCCUGGGGAGUACGGCCGCAAGGCUAAAACUCAAAGGAAUUGACGGGGGCCCGCACAAGCGGCGGAGCAUGCGGAUUAAUUCGAUGCAACGCGAAGAACCUUACCAAGGCUUGACAUGUGCCGGACCGUCCCAGAGAUGGGGCUUCCCUUCGGGGCCGGUUCACAGGUGGUGCAUGGUUGUCGUCAGCUCGUGUCGUGAGAUGUUGGGUUAAGUCUCCGCAACGAGCGCAACUCCUCGUUCCAUGUUGCCAGCACGUAGUGGUGGGGACUCAUGGGAGACUGCUCGGGGUCAACUCGGAGGAAGGUGGGGACGACGUCAAAUCAUCAUGCUCUCCUUAUGUCUUGGGCUUCACGCAUGCUACAAUGGCCGGUACAAAGGGUUGCGAUACUGUGAGGUGGAGCUAAUCUCAGAAAGCCGGUUCUCAGUUCGGAUUGGGGUCUGCAACUCGACCUCAUGAAGUCGGAGUCGCUAGUAAUCG